UCUGCAAUCUGAGAGAAGAAGUGUCCAUGUCUAUGGAAAAUAAAACAAGAACAACAAAGAAAAAGACGACUUGUUUAGUCACCAAGUUUCAAGCUGCACAAGUAGUAGGGAGGAGCACAAUCCCACAUCGACUAAAACUUACUUUGUCUACUUCGUUAUAGUGGACACGCUAAACAAGAAGAAUAGCCGAGCCAGGUAGCGUGGGCUUGUGAUCCGAGUGGAGGCAUUAAGGUGAUGGAACGUUGAUCUUGUCCAGAUGACUGAGUCUAGUGUGAUAAAUUUCUGGCCUGCCCGUUCCAAGCCGAGAGCUGAGCCAUGUGACCCCAGCGAAGGCUUGGGUUACAUGUCUCCUAAAGUGGGGGGCAAUGCGUGAGGCUGGUUUCACAGAGCAGCGACAACCUCCCGCUCCUGGCAGUGGGAAGGAUAACAGGCUGUCGUCUCCUAGGCUCAUAUGGUCUGAUGGGCUGAUAAAACUGGACCAUCACUUUUUUUUCCCUGCAUUUAAAAUCAUUUUGCACGGCCAGUGUGUCAUUAGCAGCUCACUCCGGGUUCAAUCACUUCCUCUAUGUUGUUUCUUCCUUUUGGCGUGCGCUGAUGAAGUAUCUAGGGGAGGAGGGACUCAUACGAAUUGGGUUUCUUUUGGCUGGCUGCUUUCUGGCGGGUCUGGGUUCAGCUUAGAUGGCCUUGAUCGUACGGUGGACCUUAUUCUUCAUUGGUGAGUGGGGGUGCCAUCAUUGUACAUUAAAUGCACGCCCCACUUGCCAUGAUCUUUGCCCUCUUGGUUGAAUUGAAAGGGUGGGUUUUUGGUUCCUGGGAUUUCACACCCUGUUCUCUCCUGACCAGCUGGUCUGAUUGAGUGCUGCCCCACCUCUCUUCCCUCUUCUAAUUCGGUUGGGAUGUUGUCAGGUGAGCUUUUUUCUAUUAUUGAUAGGGAAUUUUGUGUCUGAGAGGCUUCGCUUGCUUUGUUAUCUUUUUGUGUCCGCUUCUUGGAAUUUGGUUGGCAUGGCUUGUGGGGAAGUAUAUAAGCUUUUUUUUUUUAAUCUAUUCUGUGUGGUGAAUUCUCACAUUUCCUUUUGUUUUCUUAAAAAACAUUUGGGUUUUGCAAGCUUUCUGAGUUUUUUUAUUUAUUUUCUGAUUUGAUUUUGUAUGGUAGACAGAUUUCACAGCUGAUUGGAAUUCUUAUUUGGAGGAUAUUGCCAAUUACAUGCAUGAUCACAAUGAUGCAGAGGCUACACCGUUCUAUGCAAAUUGCUUGCAUUUGUAUUUAUGGACUGCGUGAUGCAUUCAUUCAAGGUUUGAACAACAUUAGUUUGUGGUGACAAUUCACUUCUAAUCCUAUAUACUGGAGACUUGAAAAACAUUAUUUAAUGGGAAUAGCAUGUUAACCAUUUCCUUUCAUCCUUCCACAUUAUUAUGGUGGAAUUUAUAAUAGCAUAAAUAGUUGCAACUUCCAAUAGCCUCGCUUAACAUGUUGCCAUUGCUUUUGAUGGCUGCUGAGAGGUUGUCAGACAAUUUCUUAGGAAGAAGGUUCGGCUGCUGAAAGGUUGUUAUGAUCGAGGCUACUUUAUUGGGGUUGAGCCUUUUGGUUGCGAAUAUGAGGUGGCCUUCCAUUAAUGCAUUUGACAGGGCAUUUAGCAUUUUGUGUUUGUUUCUAUCAGUUUAGGGCCUUUAGGCUAUUAUGAUGCCGCCACUAUGAAGGCUUCAGGUUAUCUCACUUGCCUUUUGUUUUUGGUUUUACUCCUGUGCUUGCUGUCUCUUUACUUCUUUGUCCACUUAUUCUUCGGGCGAUCUGAAAGGGUGUCUGUUUGUUUUUCUGUUGUCUUUUUAAAUGGUCAAUUCUGGUCUACGUUGUCCAUCUUCGUAAGGGUUUCUUCCUAUUCUUUUCCUUUAGCUCAGAUGUUUGUUCUUUUUUAAGAGAGGGAGGCUGUUGUGGUCCUCUGCUUUGUUUGGUAUCUGCCUUCUCUUCUUUUUUGCUGAUUCGAUUGGUUGUUUGAAGGAUUUAACUUUGUCUUGAGUUGCAUCUUUUUUUUUCCUUUUUUUUCCAGCAGGGAUUGCUUUUGAAGGAGGUAAUUGGCUCUCUCUAUUGGUUCUUCGGUUGAAUAAAUUUUGGGAGAUUCUUACUGAUUAUCAUCCUUUCAGCUGAUUUCAGUAUGGCAUGUCAUGUGAUAAAAUUUUUUAGGUAAUUGAUGCAAACCAGAAACAACCUGGUUACCCCACUAGAUUGUGUUCAAGUAGCAUUAUAGCUAAGGAAAUUUGAUUGUAUCAUGUAAUUUGAACUGCCAUUGUAGUUUAAACUUAUUACCUCCACUUGGAACAAUCAAACUGUAAUAUAUGACCUUUCUACUGUUGUUUCUGGUUUGCAUCAGUUACUCAUAUUUCAUUGAACUAAGUGGGGUAAUUUGCAUCCCAGAUAUCUGUCAGUGCUAAUGGCAGUUCACAUGCUACAAAGGUAAAUUUCAUUGACUUGCAAUAUUGGUACAGGACUAUUUAUCAAAAAGAAGGUCCAGGACUUGCUUGCUAGAGACUAGGUGGUUCAGGUUCAUCAUGCUUACAAGCUGCUGAUUGGCUAGCAAACUUGGGUUUUUUAAAAGGCCACUGGGAAAAGCUGCUACGGAUGCUCCCUCUUCUGGUUUAAUCCCUGUCUUAUUUUAUGAUUUUAUUGGGAGUAUAUCUUUAUUUAUUAAUUGCAUUUGCUUUAACUUUGUAUAUCAAACAUGCAGAGCAUGGAUUCAAAUUUAAUAGAUAGUAAAAGGCAGGGAGCGUGCUAUAUAUAUUGUGUAAAUCAAGAAUUAUGUGAUCUUCAUAUAUAUACACUUAGCCAUGUCAACCCAAUUAAGCUUGUAAUGCAGCUUCAAAUGAGGGAACUAGAAAGAAUGUUUGAUGAAGUACAUUGUCCGUCUUGUACCAUUUUCAUUAUAAUGCUCCAGUUGUAAGUACGAGAGAGAGAAAGAGAGAGAUUAUGAAGUUGAUAAACUAGAAAAUGCAGGCAUCAUCAAAGGAUUUGACUAUUAUUUAUUUCUGGUAAUUAAGAAAUAAGGAGGUGAAAGCUACACUGACUUGCCUCUGUUACUGCAAUUGAAAGUCCUGAUACAAGCAUGUGUUUUUGAAUGACAGAACUCCAUAUUGGUGAAUUCUAUGUGGUAAAGUCGCAUCCUAAAGUGUAACGAACACUAAAAUAAUACUACAGGCCAUCCAGUUCAUUCAGCAGUAUUUGAAGUGUAGGAACUUUGCACUUAGAAUUAAGACAUGCUACUUUUUCCAGUUGCAUCUGAAAAAUCUAAUGCAUUCAACGAAAUGAAGAAUGGAUGCACAGAGGCUCGUGAACUUGCACUCAGUUAAGCUUUAUAGGCUUCAUUUUCUUAAGUGAUAAAGUCUUGAAUCUACCUCGUUUUAGGAGGUUAAGUAAUAUUUAUCUAGUUUUAUUUAUUAAGGGUAGAAUAGUAUUUUCAGUUUAACCUAUAUAUAAUUUCUUUGUAUUUAGGUUAACUUAAGCAUUCAUAAUAAACAUCUUAUUGAGAAUUCUAGCCUCCUUUUAUGUUUGAUCAGAAUUACUUUAACAUGGUAUCAGAGCCUAGUUGAUCGAACCCUUGGUUUGUUAAUUUUAUGGAACUCGCUGCCCUUGUAGAAAUUAUGUUCACCAAUGUCAAAAUUGUUAUCAUCAUCCACUUCAUUCCCUGUAGGAUGUUCCAACACGCUCAAUGCAUUCCUAUGAAGCUUAACUUCAGAUUCAUUUUUCAAAACAUCAGACAUGAGUUGUUUGACCUAUUAAAAGAUGGAGGAUGAAGAUCAAGUUUUGUGCUUGCGGCUGAAGAAUUAAUAUCUGAAACUUUAUUUUAGAUUUUUCAGCUUCUGCAAUUUGGUAUUUCUGUUCUGCCUCUGCAAUUGUUUUGGUAUUUCGUCUUCUCUUCAGUUUCUGCAAUUUGGAAUCAGCUUCUGCAAUUUGGUAUUUCUAUCUGUCUCUGCAAUUGUUUUGGUAUUUCGUCUUCUCUUCAGUUUCUGCAAUUUGAAAUUAGCUUCUGCAAUUUGGUAUUUCUGUUCUGCAAUUUGGUAUCAGCUUCUGUAAUUUGGUAUUUCUGUUCUGUCUCUGCAAUUGUUUUGGUAUUUCGUCUUCUCUUCAGUUUAUGCAAUUUGGUAUUUGAGUUAAGUUUCUGCAAGAAAAAUAAAAAAUUUUAGAGUGAUAUUUUGUCUUCCGCUUCUGCAAAAUCUGGUAUUUCAACUUUCCUUCAGCUUCUGUCAUGGCAUCUACUACCAAAGAGAUUGUUUGGUUACGUUGGUUACUUGCUGAUAUGAGAGUUUUCUUUUCUCAUCCUACUCCUAUGAAUUGUGACAACCAGAGUUCUAUUCAGAUUGCUCACAACUCGGUUUUUAUGAGCGAACUAAGCACAUUGAGAUCGAUUGUCAUCUUACUCGUCAUCAUCUCAAGCAUGGCACCAUUACUUUGCCUUUCGUUCAUUCUUCCUUGCAGAUUGCAGAUUUCUUUACCAAGACGCAUUCCAUAUCUCGUUUUUGUUUUCUAGUUGGCAAACUCUCGAUGCUUGUAGAUGCCGCAUCGUGAGUUUGAGAGGAGAUGUUAAGUAAUAUUUAUCUAGUUUUAUUUAUUAAGGGUAGAAUAGUAUUUUCAGUUUAACCUAUAUAUAAUUUCUUUGUAUUUAGGUUAACUUAAGCAUUCAUAAUAAACAUCUUAUUGAGAAUUCUA
Molecule: long non-coding RNA, 4696 nt
Organism: Populus nigra (black poplar)
Lineage: Eukaryota; Viridiplantae; Streptophyta; Magnoliopsida; Malpighiales; Salicaceae
Exons: 3
Source: RefSeq, a predicted model, not a curated record